GUUAAGCGAACAAGCGUACACGGUGGAUGCCCUGGCAGUCAGAGGCGAUGAAGGACGUGCUAAUCUGCGAAAAGCGCCGGUAAGGUGAUAUGAACCGUUAUAACCGGCGAUGUCCGAAUGGGGAAACCCGGUGCACUUCGGUGCAUCAUCGUUAGCUGAAUACAUAGGCUAACGAGGCGAACCGGGGGAACUGAAACAUCUAAGUACCCCGAGGAAAAGAAAUCAACCGAGAUUCCCCCAGUAGCGGCGAGCGAACGGGGAACAGCCCAGAGCCUGAAUCAGCUUGUGUGUCAGUGGAACGGUCUGGAAAGGCCGGCGAUACAGGGUGACAGCCCCGUACACGAAGGCACACAGGCUGUGAGCUCGAUGAGUAGGGCGGGACACGUGAUAUCCUGUCUGAAGAUGGGGGGACCAUCCUCCAAGGCUAAAUACUCCUGACUGACCGAUAGUGAACCAGUACCGUGAGGGAAAGGCGAAAAGAACCCCGGCGAGGGGAGUGAAACAGAACCUGAAACCGUGUACGUACAAGCAGUGGGAGCCUUCGUAAGAGGGUGACUGCGUACCUUUUGUAUAAUGGGUCAGCGACUUAUAUUCUGUAGCAAGGUUAACCGUAUAGGGGAGCCGAAGGGAAACCGAGUCUUAACCGGGCGUUAAGUUGCAGGGUAUAGACCCGAAACCCGGUGAUCUAGCCAUGGGCAGGUUGAAGGUUGGGUAACACUAACUGGAGGACCGAACCGACUAAUGUUGAAAAAUUAGCGGAUGACCUGUGGCUGGGGGUGAAAGGCCAAUCAAACCGGGAGAUAGCUGGUUCUCCCCGAAAGCUAUUUAGGUAGCGCCUCGUGAACUCAUCUCCGGGGGUAGAGCACUGUUUCGGCUAGGGGGCCAUCCCGGCUUACCAACCCGAUGCAAACUGCGAAUACCGGAGAAUGUUAUCACGGGAGACACACGGCGGGUGCUAACGUCCGUCGUGAAGAGGGAAACAACCCAGACCGCCAGCUAAGGUCCCAAAGUCAUGGUUAAGUGGGAAACGAUGUGGGAAGGCCCAGACAGCCAGGAUGUUGGCUUAGAAGCAGCCAUCAUUUAAAGAAAGCGUAAUAGCUCACUGGUCGAGUCGGCCUGCGCGGAAGAUGUAACGGGGCUAAACCAUGCACCGAAGCUGCGGCAGCGACGCUUAUGCGUUGUUGGGUAGGGGAGCGUUCUGUAAGCCUGCGAAGGUGUGCUGUGAGGCAUGCUGGAGGUAUCAGAAGUGCGAAUGCUGACAUAAGUAACGAUAAAGCGGGUGAAAAGCCCGCUCGCCGGAAGACCAAGGGUUCCUGUCCAACGUUAAUCGGGGCAGGGUGAGUCGACCCCUAAGGCGAGGCCGAAAGGCGUAGUCGAUGGGAAACAGGUUAAUAUUCCUGUACUUGGUGUUACUGCGAAGGGGGGACGGAGAAGGCUAUGUCGGCCGGGCGACGGUUGUCCCGGUUUAAGCGUGUAGGCUGACUUUCCAGGCAAAUCCGGAAGGUUAAGGCUGAGGCGUGAUGACGAGGCACCACGGUGCUGAAGUGACAAAUGCCCUGCUUCCAGGAAAAGCCUCUAAGCAUCAGGUAACAUCAAAUCGUACCCCAAACCGACACAGGUGGUCAGGUAGAGAAUACCAAGGCGCUUGAGAGAACUCGGGUGAAGGAACUAGGCAAAAUGGUGCCGUAACUUCGGGAGAAGGCACGCUGACAUGUAGGUGAAGCCCCUGCGGGUGGAGCUGAAGUCAGUCGAAGAUACCAGCUGGCUGCAACUGUUUAUUAAAAACACAGCACUGUGCAAACACGAAAGUGGACGUAUACGGUGUGACGCCUGCCCGGUGCCGGAAGGUUAAUUGAUGGGGUUAUCGCAAGAGAAGCUCCUGAUCGAAGCCCCGGUAAACGGCGGCCGUAACUAUAACGGUCCUAAGGUAGCGAAAUUCCUUGUCGGGUAAGUUCCGACCUGCACGAAUGGCGUAAUGAUGGCCAGGCUGUCUCCACCCGAGACUCAGUGAAAUUGAACUCGCUGUGAAGAUGCAGUGUACCCGCGGCAAGACGGAAAGACCCCGUGAACCUUUACUACAGCUUGACACUGAACAUUGAGCCUUGAUGUGUAGGAUAGGUGGGAGGCUUUGAAGCGUGGACGCCAGUCUGCGUGGAGCCGACCUUGAAAUACCACCCUUUAAUGUUUGAUGUUCUAACCUGGCGCCGUGAUCCGGCGUGGGGACAGUGUCUGGUGGGUAGUUUGACUGGGGCGGUCUCCUCCCAAAGUGUAACGGAGGAGCACGAAGGUCAGCUAAUCCUGGUCGGACAUCAGGAGGUUAGUGCAAUGGCAUAAGCUGGCUUGACUGCGAGAGUGACGGCUCGAGCAGGUGCGAAAGCAGGUCAUAGUGAUCCGGUGGUUCUGUAUGGAAGGGCCAUCGCUCAACGGAUAAAAGGUACUCCGGGGAUAACAGGCUGAUACCGCCCAAGAGUUCAUAUCGACGGCGGUGUUUGGCACCUCGAUGUCGGCUCAUCACAUCCUGGGGCUGAAGUAGGUCCCAAGGGUAUGGCUGUUCGCCAUUUAAAGUGGUACGCGAGCUGGGUUUAGAACGUCGUGAGACAGUUCGGUCCCUAUCUGCCGUGGGCGCUGGAGAAUUGAGGGGGGCUGCUCCCAGUACGAGAGGACCGGAGUGGACGCAUCACUGGUGUUCGGGUUGUCAUGCCAAUGGCACUGCCCGGUAGCUAAAUGCGGAAGAGAUAAGUGCUGAAAGCAUCUAAGCACGAAACUUGCCCCGAGAUGAGUUCUCCCUGAGACUGUAAGUCUCCUGAAGGAACGUUGAAGACGACGACGUUGAUAGGCCGGGUGUGUAAGCGCAGCGAUGCGUUGAGCUAACCGGUACUAAUGAACCGUGAGGCUUAACC
This 2900-nucleotide ribosomal RNA is filed under the name Cronobacter sakazakii. Its description in RNAcentral is "Bacterial large subunit ribosomal RNA". It matches the Rfam family "Bacterial large subunit ribosomal RNA". The record is from RNAcentral. Lineage: Bacteria; Pseudomonadati; Pseudomonadota; Gammaproteobacteria; Enterobacterales; Enterobacteriaceae.